CCUCCUCCAGCGGAGAUCCUCAUCCAGGCCUGUGCGCUUCAGGACUCAGAACAAGACGCUGGAAGAGCCCGUCCAGCCAUUCCCUGAGCCAGCCUCUUCCCCAUCCUAGUUUCGCUAUGGCUAGCACCCCCCUCUCCAAGUCCAUCUAGGAAACAAACCUGAACAGCUCGGGGAGGAGGGUGUUGGAGAGGAGCAUAAGAGAGGCCCACCCUUCACCUCCAAGCCAUGAAUAGGGACAAACACACGUUAUAACUGGAUUCCACCCCCGAACCUAGUACCAAGGCCAGGUGGAUCCUACCUGCCAAGCUGGGUGGGGCAGAACCACCCACCAGCCGGCGGUUCUUUCCUCACUCUCACCCAGCUUUGAACAUUCCGAGAACAUCCAACAGCCUCUCACUACCUUCCCCUUGCCCAG
This 415-nucleotide long non-coding RNA is filed under the name Dasypus novemcinctus (nine-banded armadillo). RNAcentral's name for it is "lncRNA (ENSDNOG00000052699.1)". Lineage: Eukaryota; Metazoa; Chordata; Mammalia; Cingulata; Dasypodidae. The record is from RNAcentral.